Molecule: ribosomal RNA, 465 nt
Filed under: uncultured bacterium
Lineage: Bacteria
Description: partial 16S ribosomal RNA
Rfam family: Bacterial small subunit ribosomal RNA
Source: RNAcentral
GACGAACGCUGGCGGCGUGCUUAACACAUGCAAGUCGUACGGAAAGGCCCUUUCGGGGGUACACGGGCGGCGAACGGGGGCGUAACAGGUGAGUAACCUUCCCCCACCUAUGGGAUAACGCUAGGAAACUGGAGCUAAUACUGGAUAUGGGCCACUGCUGCAUGGUGGUGGUUCAAAAGUUCCGGCGGUUGUGGAUGUACUCGCGGCCUAUCAGCUUGUUGGUGGGGUAGUGGCCUACCAAGGCGGCGACGGGUAGCCGCCCUGAGUGGGUGACCGGCCACAUUGGGACUGAGGUACGGCCCAGACUCCUACGGGAGGCAGCAGUGGGGAAGAUUGCACAAUGAGCGCCAGCCUGAUGCAGCAACGCCGCGGGCGGGAUGACGGCCUUCGGGGUGUAAAACGCUUUCAGCAGGGACGAAGCUUUUUGUGACGGUACCUGCAGAAGAAGCACCGGCUAACUACGUG